Molecule: long non-coding RNA, 237 nt
Filed under: Lathyrus oleraceus (garden pea)
Lineage: Eukaryota; Viridiplantae; Streptophyta; Magnoliopsida; Fabales; Fabaceae
Description: Pisum sativum (pea) long non-coding RNA (PSAT_LNC001154)
Source: RNAcentral
GUUGUUAUCUCAAUUUUUGAUACUUGUCCAUAUUGACCUUCAACUCUCGUCCGUGUUGACCAUCUCUGUUUCAAUACUCAUCCAUAUUGAUCGUCAACACUCAUCCGUGGUAAUCAUUCCUAUUUUCAAUAGUCGUCAGUAUUGAUCUCCAAUGCUCGUCCGUGUCGUUACCUUCCUUAAUGCUCGGUCUUAUUGGACUUUAACAUUCGUCUGUGUUAUCCCUCCUUUUUUCAAUAC